Molecule: ribosomal RNA, 303 nt
Filed under: uncultured bacterium
Lineage: Bacteria
Description: partial 16S ribosomal RNA
Rfam family: Bacterial small subunit ribosomal RNA
Source: RNAcentral
AGCAGUAGCCGCGGGAAUACGGAGGGUGCAAGUGUUAAUCGGAAUUACUGGGCGUAAAGCGCACGCAGGUGGUUUGUUAAGUCAGAUGUGAAAUCCCCGAGCUUAACUUGGGAACUGCAUUUGAAACUGGCAAGCUAGAGUCUUGUAGAGGGGGGUAGAAUUCCAGGUGUAGCGGUGAAAUGCAUAGAGAUCUGGAGGAAUACCGGUGGCGAAGGCGGCCCCCUGGACAAAGACUGACGCUCAGGUGCGAAAGCGUGGGGAGCAAACAGGAUUAGAUACCCGGGUAGUCCCUGUCUCUUAUAC